UACGAAGGGUGCAAGCGUUACUCGGAAUUACUGGGCGUAAAGCGUGCGUAGGUGGUUCGUUAAGUCUGAUGUGAAAGCCCCGGGCUCAACCUGGGAAUGGCAUGGGAAACUGGCGAGCUGGAGUGCGGCAGAGGGGGGUGGAAUUCCGCGUGUAGCAGUGAAAUGCGUAGAGAUGCGGAGGAACACCGAUGGCGAAGGCAGCCCCCUGGGUCGACACUGACGCUCAGGCACGAAAGCGUGGGGAGCAAACAGG
This 253-nucleotide ribosomal RNA is filed under the name uncultured bacterium. Its description in RNAcentral is "partial 16S ribosomal RNA". It matches the Rfam family "Bacterial small subunit ribosomal RNA", at positions 524 to 776 of the family's 1533-position model. The record is from RNAcentral.